AGGCACGUAGCUCAGUUGGUUAGAGCACCACCUUGACAUGGUGGGGGUCGUUGGUUCGAAUCCAAUCGAGCCUACCA
Molecule: transfer RNA, 77 nt
Filed under: Neisseria zoodegmatis
Lineage: Bacteria; Pseudomonadati; Pseudomonadota; Betaproteobacteria; Neisseriales; Neisseriaceae
Description: tRNA-Val(gac)
Rfam family: tRNA
About the family: Transfer RNA (tRNA) molecules are approximately 80 nucleotides in length. Their secondary structure includes four short double-helical elements and three loops (D, anti-codon, and T loops). Further hydrogen bonds mediate the characteristic L-shaped molecular structure. tRNAs have two regions of fundamental functional importance: the anti-codon, which is responsible for specific mRNA codon recognition, and the 3' end, to which the tRNAs corresponding amino acid is attached (by aminoacyl-tRNA synthetases). tRNAs cope with the degeneracy of the genetic code in two manners: having more than one tRNA (with a specific anti-codon) for a particular amino acid; and 'wobble' base-pairing, i.e. permitting non-standard base-pairing at the 3rd anti-codon position.
Source: RNAcentral